GUCGGGCGUGGUGGCCACACCUGUCAUCCCAGCUCCUUGGGAGGCUGAGGCAGGAGGAUGGCAUGUGACAUGGUUGCGGCCAGGCUGGGCAACUUGGCAUGACCCUGUCUCCA
This 113-nucleotide small RNA is filed under the name Marmota monax (woodchuck). Lineage: Eukaryota; Metazoa; Chordata; Mammalia; Rodentia; Sciuridae. The record is from RNAcentral.